Gallus gallus (chicken) is the source of this 1325-nucleotide long non-coding RNA. NCBI's taxonomy places the organism in Eukaryota, Metazoa, Chordata, Aves, Galliformes, Phasianidae. The record is from Ensembl.
CUGUAAUGAAGUCACCUGGAAAAAGCUGUUGAAACUGCUAAAAGCAAGCAUUAAAAUUCAGCUAGUACUUGCAACCACUAAAUUAGAGAACAGCAUCCUAGAAGCUGUACUACUACUUGAAAGUAGGAUUCUCACUUGCUGAAGUGUUGUUGAAUAGAAAGCUUUAAAACCAGAAGGUUAGAAAAUCUUCAAAGACCAGGGAAGAUUUGUGUGUCAGUGUCAAGUAAACACAAAGAGACAAGUGUUCUCUUUUGAGGUUGCUUUUUAUUCCAGUGAGUAACUUCAAAGGCAGGGGCAUCCUAAUGCGAGGAGAAGGGAAUUGUCAGGACCUCUUCCAGAGAUGUGCUCUGGAUCUCAGUUUCACAACCCACCUGGCUAAGGAGGAGUGUUAAAAGAUGUUAAGAAGGGUGCUGGUUUUUUUCUUCCUCGUCAUCAAUCGUUUUUGUUUUAUUUCGUUGGCUGUACUGCACUACUUUUUGCAUAGUGUAACCGUGAGGUCAUUGUGAGGUUAAUUUAUUUCUCAUAAAGAUGAGCCCUUAGCAGAACACCACUGGCACAGAGGAACAGAAGUAACUGCUACUGCAGCAAUCCCCUGGACUGAAGAACAGAUUAUUUCUUCCUUCAGGGGCAGAAUAUCCAAGUGAAUCUGAAUAUUGGUGUAGAAGAAAAUGCAAGUCACAUCUUGAAGCAGUGUUUGCGCACCUACUACGAAGGCAGGGCCAACCCAGGGGAGCUCAUGCAAUGCACCAGAGCGACUGGAAGUGGUGGAGCCAGGAUCCACCUCUUCCCAGACCUCACUGAAGGGCUGGCAGUGAAGGCAAGAGUAUCUCACUGGAGAUCCCUUCCUACCCGUGGCCCUCUGAAGAAGUCACUAUUGAAGGGUAUACGCUGAAAACAUUGUGAUCUUCCUGGACAACAAGAAUAUUACCUGUGAUUCCUUGCAGUCUGGGGACCUGGAAGGGGAUUGAGCACCCCAGAAAAGGGUGCAAAGGUUGGAGCCCUCAAGGUAAUGAGCCACGGGCUGGGGAAGCAAUGCACGAAGGAGCAAAAAUGCCUAGGUGUGUCAGGCCCGACGGUAAGGGUCCUAUCAUCAGUUACAAAAGGAGAAACAAAAAUGUGGUCAAUAGUAACAGUCUCUACUGUGUUACCUGGGUUGUGGGUUAACUGCUUCAUGUUCUUCCCUCUCAGAAACUUGUACUUCAGUAUGAUAUGGCACAAGGUUUUAUUUGUGUGCCAGCCCACAUCAGCCCCUGCUGGGGCCUAACUGCAGAUUGUAGUGUCAGUGCUCUGCUUUUUCUCACCUUGGUCUUAAAGAGCCUAAAGCA